This 267-nucleotide unclassified non-coding RNA is filed under the name uncultured fungus. RNAcentral describes it as "partial contains 5.8S ribosomal RNA, internal transcribed spacer 2, and large subunit ribosomal RNA". The stretch from base 1 to 52 matches the Rfam family "5.8S ribosomal RNA", at positions 103 to 154 of the family's 154-position model. The record is from RNAcentral. Lineage: Eukaryota; Fungi.
AACGCACAUUGCGCCCGCCAGUAUUCUGGCGGGCAUGCCUGUCCGAGCGUCAUUUCAACCCUCGAACCCCUCCGGGGGAUCGGCGUUGGGGAUCGGGACCCCUCACACGGGUGCCGGCCCCGAAAUACAGUGGCGGUCUCGCCGCAGCCUCUCCUGCGCAGUAGUUUGCACAACUCGCACCGGGAGCGCGGCGCGUCCACGUCCGUAAAACACCCAACUUUCUGAAAUGUUGACCUCGGAUCAGGUAGGAAUACCCGCUGAACUUAA